Molecule: long non-coding RNA, 245 nt
Organism: Sinocyclocheilus rhinocerous
Lineage: Eukaryota; Metazoa; Chordata; Actinopteri; Cypriniformes; Cyprinidae
Exons: 3
Source: RefSeq, a predicted model, not a curated record
AGCAGAUUAGGAUGUGAGCGGUCAAGUGAAUAAUACAUCAAGUGAGCUGCAAACAAAGUCCUGCCCACUGAAGAGGGAGAUCGUCUGAAAGCAAGAUGUGGCUCGGGUCAUUUUUUCACCUGUUUUACGGUGCAUCAGGUGAAAAUGCUGCAUCUGAUCACUUAAACUAGCAGCUCAGUCUCCUCAAUGGCACUGAUGAUCUGAGGAAUCAUUCCCAUCUGCAGCACAAACUCUGAACUGAACUU